AUUGAACGCUGGCGGCAGGCCUAACACAUGCAAGUCGAGCGAGCGGCGGACGGGUGAGUAAUGUAUGGGGAACUGCCUGAUGGAGGGGGAUAACUACUGGAAACGGUAGCUAAUACCGCAUACCAUCGGAUGAACCCAUAUGGGAUUAGCUUGUAGGUGGGGUAACGGCUCACCUAGGCGACGAUCCCUAGCUGGUCUGAGAGGAUGACCACCCACACUGGAACUGAGACACGGCCCAGACUCCUACGGGAGGCAGCAGUGGGGAAUAUUGCACAAUGGGCGCAAGCCUGAUGCAGCCAUGUCGCGUGUAUGAAGAAGGCCUUCGGGUUGUAAAGUACGUUCAGCGGGGAGGCGUUACCGGCAGAAGAAGCACCGGCUAACUCCGUGCCAGCAGCCGCGGUAAUUC
RNAcentral lists this ribosomal RNA (406 nucleotides) under uncultured bacterium. RNAcentral's name for it is "partial 16S ribosomal RNA". It matches the Rfam family "Bacterial small subunit ribosomal RNA", at positions 30 to 526 of the family's 1533-position model. The record is from RNAcentral.